UUAUUUAUUUUAAAGGAACUCUUUGGUUAUAAGGCAAAUAAAGAUGUAAAGUAUGUCAAGGUUAAAAAUACCAUGAAAUAAGAAAUGGGGCUGUGGAGUGUGUGUGGAGACACACACAGGUAUGAAGAUGAAAUAAUGUGAAUAUAGGUAGAGUGCUCAUUGUGUUGUGCUGUAUCCUAUGGAUCUAUGCGUUCAGUCCUAUGGAUGGGACAGGAUAGUGUCCCCAUUUUACAGAUGGGGAAACUGAAGCCUGGGCCGUCAUGUUUCUUGAGCAUGUCUCGGAUACCCAUGGCUGAGCCAAGAUUUCAACCCAGGGAGCCUGGGAUGUGAAUCACAAAGCCAUGUGACAUGUACAGUGUGACAUCAACAUUCCCUUUUCGGGGGUGCCAAAGCCACCCAGUUGGAGUGUCUAAGAGCUGCAAGGGAGGAGCCUCAGGAUGCCUGCUGGACCAGGGCUGAUGCAGAUCAGCAAUAAAGCUUUUCAUUGGUUUAUCUGCUAAGGACAGACCUUCUCUUUCUUUUCCUUGCUUAAAAAUCUGAGUGUUUGCCCAAGACAGCAAUGUGUGGAAAUGGAGAAAAUCCAAGAAUUCUCCUGUGGCUGUGCUAAAUUGAGCUUCCUCUCCAGUCUCCAUCUUUCCCUGCUCACCCCUCCCAUUUUCCAGCAAAAUGAGCAAUAGUUCACCCCUUCUGGAUUUAAGAGUCAGCCUUUCUCCAUGGUGACUCCAGUUCAGAGCUCAUUCGAAAGUCCUGCGACUCGUCGAAAUUCGACAUUGGAUUGGUGCCUCUGUUCCUUGGUGGGUGCCCUGUUUCCUCUAGAAUCUCACAAUACUGGAGUUGGGAUGUUUCAUCCACACCUUCUCCUCCCCACCUGGGUCUCAGGCCAGAUGAUCCAGAACAAAUCUUCCUGAAAUCAUUUGGGCAGCAGCAUCUGUCCAGAUCUUCCAAGAGCAAGAUCUCAAGAUGGUUUCACAAAUUACUUUUUCACCACAGAGGUGUUUGCUGUCACAAAGCAGACUCUUGGCUGCGCCGUGUCCUGCAGAGGGCUGCUCUGCACGCGGUGUGCACAUGUUUCUACUCAUCAGUGAGGUUUAGUGCCUGCUUCACUGGGCCCGGGAACCCCUGGGGAUACUGAGGCUUCAGUCCCAAAAGGCCACUGUCAGAGUGGAGAGGCUCCUCCAGCUCACAGCACAAUUUUGGUGUUGCACUGCUCUGAGCUAGCAGCUUUGUGAAGACCUAUUUUCUCAGAGCUCUGCUUGUGGAGGUGGAACAUGCUGACCUCGAGGAGGUGUGGGGAAGAACAGUAGCAAACUCUGAGGAUCUUAGAGGAAACUGCUUGUAAAUCUGGCAUGGACUGUGUAUUUUAGAGAAAUUUAGGAGAUUGAGAAGCCCAAUGCAUUUGGAGAUGGGGGGCACCUUCCCUGAGGCCCUGACUUAAUGUAAUCUUGUUUAUUCAUUGUCACCCUUUGAAUGUGGGCCUCUUUAUUUCCUCCAUUUUUUUGAUUAUAAAAGUUUUUAAAUAUGUGAAAAAUGAUGAAAGAAAGUACAACGAACACACAGACUCUCCACCCAGAUUCGACAGCCGCUAACACUGUGCUGUGUCUCCUGCCAUUGCUUUCUC
Lemur catta (Ring-tailed lemur) is the source of this 1618-nucleotide long non-coding RNA. RefSeq lists it as uncharacterized. NCBI's taxonomy places the organism in Eukaryota, Metazoa, Chordata, Mammalia, Primates, Lemuridae. The record is from RefSeq and is a predicted model, not a curated record. The transcript has 3 exons.